UACAGAGGGUGCGAGCGUUAAUCGGAAUUACUGGGCGUAAAGCGCGCGUAGGCGGCUUGGCAAGUCGGGUGUGAAAUCCCCAGGCUUAACCUGGGAACUGCAUUCGAGACUGCAUUGCUAGAGUAUGGGAGAGGGAAGUGGAAUUUCCGGUGUAGCGGUGAAAUGCGUAGAUAUCGGAAGGAACAUCAGUGGCGAAAGCGACUUCCUGGACCAAUACUGACGCUCAUGUGCGAAAGCGUGGGGAGCAAACAGG
RNAcentral lists this ribosomal RNA (253 nucleotides) under uncultured bacterium. Its description in RNAcentral is "partial 16S ribosomal RNA". It matches the Rfam family "Bacterial small subunit ribosomal RNA", at positions 524 to 776 of the family's 1533-position model. The record is from RNAcentral.